UACAGAGGGUGCGAGCGUUGUCCGGAAUCACUGGGCGUAAAGGGCGCGUAGGUGGUUUGCUAAGCGUGUGGUGAAAGCCCGGGGCUCAACCCCGGGUCUGCCGUGCGGACUGGCAAACUUGAGCAGAGUAGAGGCGAGUGGAAUUCCGGGUGUAGCGGUGGAAUGCGUAGAGAUCCGGAAGAACACCAGUGGCGAAGGCGGCUCGCUGGGCUCUUGCUGACACUGAUGCGCGACAGCGUGGGGAGCAAACAGG
Molecule: ribosomal RNA, 253 nt
Filed under: uncultured prokaryote
Also listed under: 1 other name
Description: partial 16S ribosomal RNA
Rfam family: Bacterial small subunit ribosomal RNA
Source: RNAcentral